GCACCGGUAGCUCAAUCGGAUAGAGCGUCGGCCUCCGGAGCCGAAGGUUGUGGGUUCGACCCCCGCCCGGUGCA
This 74-nucleotide transfer RNA is filed under the name Terrimicrobium sacchariphilum. RNAcentral's name for it is "tRNA-Arg". It matches the Rfam family "tRNA". From Rfam's summary of the family: Transfer RNA (tRNA) molecules are approximately 80 nucleotides in length. Their secondary structure includes four short double-helical elements and three loops (D, anti-codon, and T loops). Further hydrogen bonds mediate the characteristic L-shaped molecular structure. tRNAs have two regions of fundamental functional importance: the anti-codon, which is responsible for specific mRNA codon recognition, and the 3' end, to which the tRNAs corresponding amino acid is attached (by aminoacyl-tRNA synthetases). tRNAs cope with the degeneracy of the genetic code in two manners: having more than one tRNA (with a specific anti-codon) for a particular amino acid; and 'wobble' base-pairing, i.e. permitting non-standard base-pairing at the 3rd anti-codon position. Lineage: Bacteria; Pseudomonadati; Verrucomicrobiota; Terrimicrobiia; Terrimicrobiales; Terrimicrobiaceae. RNAcentral also lists the same sequence under 5 other names. The record is from RNAcentral.